CAGGCAGGCGGUUCUGUGUGUCCUCUGUGAAAGCCCUCGGCUCAACCGAGGAAUUGCAGGGGAAACUGCGGGACUUGAGUCCGGGAGAGGCUAGUGGAAUUCCCAGUGUAGCGGUGAAAUGCGUAGAUAUUGGGAGGAACACCAGUGGCGAAGGCGGCUAGCUGGACCGGUACUGACGCUGAACUGCGAAAGCUAGGGGAGCGAACAGGAUUAGAUACCCUGGUAGUCC
This 229-nucleotide ribosomal RNA is filed under the name uncultured bacterium. RNAcentral's name for it is "partial 16S ribosomal RNA". It matches the Rfam family "Bacterial small subunit ribosomal RNA", at positions 568 to 796 of the family's 1533-position model. The record is from RNAcentral.